RNAcentral lists this ribosomal RNA (272 nucleotides) under uncultured bacterium. RNAcentral describes it as "partial 16S ribosomal RNA". It matches the Rfam family "Bacterial small subunit ribosomal RNA", at positions 524 to 794 of the family's 1533-position model. The record is from RNAcentral.
UACGAGAGGCCCCAAACGUUAUUCGGAUUUACUGGGCUUAAAGAGUUCGUAGGCGGCGCAGAAAGUAGGGUGUGAAAGCCCUCGGCUCAACCGAGGAAUUGCGCCCUAAACUACUGUGCUCGAGGAAGCUAGAGGUGAGCGGAACUGAUGGUGGAGCGGUGAAAUGCGUUGAUAUCAUCAGGAACACCGGAGGCGAAGGCGGCUCACUGGGGCUUUUCUGACGCUGAGGAACGAAAGCCAGGGGAGCGAACGGGAUUAGAUACCCUUGUAGU